Molecule: ribosomal RNA, 433 nt
Filed under: uncultured bacterium
Lineage: Bacteria
Description: bacterial SSU rRNA
Rfam family: Bacterial small subunit ribosomal RNA
Source: RNAcentral
GCGAACGCUGGCGGCAGGCCUAACACAUGCAAGUCGAGCGGCCGUAGCAAUACGGCAGCGGCAGACGGGAGAGUAACACGUGGGAACGCGCCCUUUGGUUCGGAAUAACUCAGGGAAAUUUGAGCUAAUACCGGAUAAGCCCUUACGGGGAAAGAUUUAUCGCCAAAGGAACGGCCCGCGUCCGAUUAGCUAGUUGGUGAGGUAACGGCUCACCAAGGCGACGAUCGGUAGCUGGUCUGAGAGGAUGACCAGCCUCACUGGGACUGAGACACGGCCCAGACUCCUACGGGAGGCAGCAGUGGGGAAUAUUGGACAAUGGGCGCAAGCCUGAUCCAGCCAUGCCGCGUGAGUGAUGAAGGCCGUAGGGUUGUAAAGCUCUUUUACCCGGGAUGAUAAUGACAGUACCGGGAGAAUAAGCCCCGGCUAACUCCGU